AUCCAGUUGACGAGUCCCGAAUGAGACGAAACAAGCGUCCUGGAU
This is a non-coding RNA of Schistosoma mattheei, 45 nucleotides long. The record is from Rfam. Lineage: Eukaryota; Metazoa; Platyhelminthes; Trematoda; Strigeidida; Schistosomatidae.